AACGAACGCUGGCGGCAUGCCUAACACAUGCAAAUCGAACGAACCCUUCGGGGUUAGUGGCGCACGGGUGCGUAACGCGUGGGAAUCUGCCCUUUGCUUCGGAAUAACUCAGGGAAACUUGUGCUAAUACCGGAUGAUGUCUUCGGACCAAAGAUUUAUCGGCAAGGGAUGAGCCCGCGUAGGAUUAGGUAGUUGGUGGGGUAAAGGCCUACCAAGCCGACGAUCCUUAGCUGGUCUGAGAGGAUGAUCAGCCACACUGGGACUGAGACACGGCCCAGACUCCUACGGGAGGCAGCAGUGGGGAAUAUUGGACAAUGGGCGCAAGCCUGAUCCAGCAAUGCCGCGUGAGUGAUGAAGGCCCUCGGGUCGUAAAGCUCUUUUACCAGGGAUGAUAAUGACAGUACCUGGAGAAUAAGCUCCGGCUAACUCCGUG
This 433-nucleotide ribosomal RNA is filed under the name uncultured bacterium. Its description in RNAcentral is "partial 16S ribosomal RNA". It matches the Rfam family "Bacterial small subunit ribosomal RNA", at positions 29 to 507 of the family's 1533-position model. The record is from RNAcentral.